RNAcentral lists this transfer RNA (76 nucleotides) under Rhizobium sp. MHM7A. RNAcentral describes it as "tRNA-Arg". It matches the Rfam family "tRNA". Rfam says of the family: Transfer RNA (tRNA) molecules are approximately 80 nucleotides in length. The record is from RNAcentral. Lineage: Bacteria; Pseudomonadati; Pseudomonadota; Alphaproteobacteria; Hyphomicrobiales; Rhizobiaceae.
GGUUCCUUAGCUCAGUGGAUAGAGCAACUGCCUUCUAAGCAGUAGGUCGUAGGUUCGAAUCCUACAGGAAUCGCCA